This 259-nucleotide long non-coding RNA is filed under the name Mytilus galloprovincialis (Mediterranean mussel). The record is from RNAcentral. Lineage: Eukaryota; Metazoa; Mollusca; Bivalvia; Mytilida; Mytilidae.
GGGUAAAGAUGUUGAUCAUAUUUAAUAUAAAAAAAGCUAUACAUGCAUUUUUUACUGUUAUGCAUUAAAUGUGCAAAGUUUAUUGCUCUUAUGCCAAUGUAAGAUUGAAUUCAAAAAUGAAAAUACUGGUGUCUGAGAGCCUUAUGCUAUUGACAUCUAAAGGAUAUCAUUUGAAAGAUUUAUAAUGCUUUUUGAUUUACAAUUUCCCCCCUGAAACUGAUAAUCCAAAAUUUAAACUAUUUCAAUAUAAUUCCAUAAC